UACGUAGGGUGCAAGCGUUAUCCGGAAUCACUGGGCGUAAAGCGUGCGUAGGCGGGUCUUUAAGUGAGAUGUUAAAUCGUGUGGCUCAACCAUAUCGAUGCAUCUCAUACUGGAUACCUAGAGGAAAGCAGAGGCAAGUGGAAUUGGUAGUGUAGCAGUGAAAUGCGUAGAUAUUACCAGGAACACCAAUGGCGAAGGCAGCUUGCUGGGCUUUUUCUGACGCUGAGGUACGAAAGCGUGGGGAGCGAACAGG
RNAcentral lists this ribosomal RNA (253 nucleotides) under uncultured bacterium. RNAcentral's name for it is "partial 16S ribosomal RNA". It matches the Rfam family "Bacterial small subunit ribosomal RNA", at positions 524 to 776 of the family's 1533-position model. The record is from RNAcentral.